GAUGAACGCUGGCGGCGUGCCUAAUACAUGCAAGUCGAGCGAACGGACGAGAAGCUUGCUUUUCUGAUGUUAGCGGCGGACGGGUGAGUAACACGUGGAUAACCUACCUAUAAGACUGGGAUAACUUCGGGAAACCGGAGCUAAUACCGGAUAAUAUUUUGAACCGCAUGGUUCAAAAGUGAAAGACGGUCUUGCUGUCACUUAUAGAUGGAUCCGCGGUGCAUUAGCUAGUUGGUAAGGUAACGGCUUACCAAGGCAACGAUGCAUAGCCGACCUGAGAGGGUGAUCGGCCACACUGGAACUGAGACACGGUCCAGACUCCUACGGGAGGCAGCAGUAGGGAAUCUUCCGCAAUGGGCGAAAGCCUGACGGAGCAACGCCGCGUGAGUGAUGAAGGUCUUCGGAUCGUAAAACUCUGUUAUUAGGGAAGAACAUAUGUGUAAGUAACUGUGCACAUCUUGACGGUACCUAAUCAGAAAGCCACGGCUAACUACGUG
RNAcentral lists this ribosomal RNA (497 nucleotides) under uncultured bacterium. RNAcentral's name for it is "partial 16S ribosomal RNA". It matches the Rfam family "Bacterial small subunit ribosomal RNA", at positions 28 to 507 of the family's 1533-position model. The record is from RNAcentral.